RNAcentral lists this unclassified non-coding RNA (1709 nucleotides) under Hevea brasiliensis (rubber tree). The record is from RNAcentral. Lineage: Eukaryota; Viridiplantae; Streptophyta; Magnoliopsida; Malpighiales; Euphorbiaceae.
AUAGACAAGCACAUUUAGGGUUAGGACAGGGAAUGAACCGGACACUGAGGUUGCAUUGAAGUAUGCUGGUUGAUAGUGAAGAAAAAGCAGCAGUGUAAUACAAUCUCUGGUUCUGUUGGGGAACAUCAUAAUUAAAUUAUCAGUUUAAUGGCGGUAUAUGCUCUGUCCUCCUUGCUGUGGGGCAUGAGAGGGGUUGGGGAAGAUGUUGGCAAGUAUGGAAACUCAGACUCCAGUCCAUGUUGAAGGCUUGCCAUUGGACAAAGGCAUCAUGCAAGUCUUUCCUUGUGUUUUUGAAAUGCAAAAUUACAUUUGCUUAAAUGAAAAUAUUGAGAUAGUUCGUCUCUAUGACUCCACAAUUUAUAUGGCAGCAAGUAUGGAGAACAUCUUUUAUGAGUCCAUUUUAUUAAGUCUGCUUAUUGAUGGGAUGUUAAAAGUAGAUCCAAGCAUUUGUAACUUCUCUCCUGUUGGAGUUAAUAUCUACACGGAUAAAUAGGUUAUUGUGUUCAGUUUUGCAUCAUAUAUUUUCAAUCUGUCUAAUAUUCCUUCCGUGUUUCUCCAACAAGCUCUGAUUACAAUGUGGAAUUAUAGGAAAUUCUUUGCAACCUUUUCUGCUCUACUAUUACUAUUUUAUGUAGAUUGGUUUAUUUGCACAAAUGCCUUGAUGGUUUUCAUCAUUUAUAUUCAAGUUUCCGUAUAUUUUCCCCUUAGACACCUUUCGUUGUGUAGGAUAUGAGAAGGGAUCUGGGUAUCUCACAUUUUGAAGGAAAGAUGGAGGUGAAAGACAUGGAGAUAAAUAAGAAAUGUGAAAAAUGCAGCAACACAAAGCUUAAAUUUUCCACCAGACAAAUGAGAUCAGCAGAUGAGGGGCAGACUACUUUCUAUCACUGUCCUAGUUGUUUACAUACUUUUAGCGAGAAUUGAGUUUUCAGGUGAGAAGUUACAUGUUGCUGUUGGAUAGUCUAAGAAUUUCAUUGCGUCAAGGUGAAUUACAAUUUUUUUUUUUAAUUGGCAUUAACUGAACCAUCAAUUGGCUAAGUGAAGACAGUUUAUUCAGUUUGUUUCUAUUUCCAUUGAGUUGUACCUUAAACAAAUUGACUAAAGGUGGCUUUUCUAGGAGACCCUAUUAAACUUAUAAUGUAAAAGAUACUGCUAUGACCCGAGUGUGAUGGAUUCAAAACACGGAAACAACUCUUGUGCAACGUCAACCAAGGCUCUCUUCAAAAUUGUCACUGCUUUCUGUCUUCUGCUCAAAGAUUGAACUCACCUAAUAAUGCGACUCUGCAAAAAGGGGAAAGUAUAUUUAAGCAUUAUUAGGUUUUGUGCUUUUAACAUUCAGCCUCAAGACGUUUUCCAUUGCUAAGCUUAAAAUGUAUGGUAUUUAAAUGUACUUUUUACAAGAAAAGAAAAUAUCUAUUUCUGUAUGUUUUGCGUUAUAUUGAAUGUUAGUAAUGUGGCUGUUGAACCAAAUUCGUUAAGAGUUGCAAGUGCGUACAAGCUUCUUUAGCACAAGUACAUAUAAGCAACCUAUGGGCAUCUCAUCAAACAAAGUGAUCGUAGGAAAAUCUCUCACAAAAUGAUUUUAUGUAUUUUUAUUAAAAAAAAAAAAGAAGAAAUUUUAUAGUUUGAAGCAAUGAUUAAAUAGGAAGGUACCCAUGCUCUUAUGAAAUAUAAGCUGAUAAGCUUUAUAAUGUGGGUCCUUAUCAAAUUGG